Molecule: ribosomal RNA, 429 nt
Filed under: uncultured archaeon
Lineage: Archaea
Description: bacterial SSU rRNA
Rfam family: Archaeal small subunit ribosomal RNA
Source: RNAcentral
UACCAGCUCUCCGAGUGGUAGGGACAAUUAUUGGGCUUAAAGCGUCCGUAGCCGGCUUAGCAAGUCUCCUGUCAAAUUCAGCGACCUAAUCGUUGAGCCGCGGGAGACACUACUAGGCUAGGAGGCGGGAGAGGCCGACGGUAUUCUCGGGGUAGGGGUGAAAUCCUAUAAUCCCGGGAGGACCACCAGUGGCGAAGGCUGUCGGCUAGAACGCGCUCGGCGGUGAGGGACGAAAGCUGGGGGAGCGAACCGGAUUAGACACCCGGGUAGUCCCAGCUGUAAACGAUGCGGGCUAGGUGUUGGGGUGGCUACGAGCCACUUCAGUGCCGCAGGGAAGCCAUUAAGCCCGCCGCCUGGGGAGUACGGCCGCAAGGCUGAAACUUAAAGGAAUUGGCGGGGGAGCACCACAAGGCGUGAAGCUUGCGGUUC